AUCACCUGUUAUCAUUGGGAAAACACUUUUGCUCAAAAUGCAAAUCUCAUCUGGCAGUUGUAGUCACUGACAUACACACCUGAAAACACUUGCACAGAAAACUGGAGAACAGAAUGGUUGGACGAGCUCCUCAAGGUGGAGGGGAACGGAUCUUCACUCAACAACAAGAGAUUGCCAUCAUUGAAAUGCCCCUUUCUAAAUGCAAUCGAGGAAUUCUUUUCAGUGUGGCAGUGGAAAGUAUAUGAUCUGCAACCACACGCCCGCAUGACUCUUCUGCAAGAGAUGGACGAGGCAUGUGGAGACACUGAGGUGGGAUCAAUCCAAGGGUGGAUUCGGUACAUAAGGCCAUAUUUUCCCUGAUGCCUGUGAUGUUGACGAGGUCUUGUGGCCAGAUCCGAACAGAAGCUCGACCACUAGGGGACGCUGCACAUCAGAAGGAUUCCAUGAGACAGAAAUCUCUGUUACCAGAGAAGCAGUUCACACAUCUGCAGAUGUUCACACUAGUAAAC
This is a long non-coding RNA of Cyprinus carpio carpio, 509 nucleotides long. NCBI's taxonomy places the organism in Eukaryota, Metazoa, Chordata, Actinopteri, Cypriniformes, Cyprinidae. The record is from Ensembl.